UCAAAGAUAAGCCAUGCAUGUCUAAGUACAAGCGUAAAUAAAGUGAAACCGCAAAAGGCUCAUUAUAUCAGUUAUGGUUCCUUAGAUCGUAUCCACAAUUACUUGGAUAACUGUGGUAAUUCUAGAGCUAAUACAUGCAUUUAAAGAGAAACCAGUAAAAUGGGAUCUCUGCUCUUAUUAGAUUUAAACCAAUGGGGAGUGCGCAAGCAUUCUCAAAUUGAAUGGUUGAACUCUGGAUAAUUUGUUGAUCGCAUGGUCUCGUACCGGCGACGGAUCUUUCAAAUGUCUGCCCUAUCAACUAUUGAAGGUAGUGUCUUGGACUACCUUGGUUGCAACGGGUAACGGGGAAUCAGGGUUCGAUUCCGGAGAGGGAGCCUGAGAAACGGCUACCACAUCUAAGGAAGGCAGCAGGCGCGUAAAUUACCCACUCCCGGCACGGGGAGGUAGUGACGAAAAAUAACAAUACAAGACUCACAUCCGAGGCCUUGUAAUUGGAAUGAGUACAAUAUAAAUCCUUUAACAAGGAUCAAUUGGAGGGCAAGUCUAGUGCCAGCAGCCGCGGUAAUUCUAGCUCCAAUAGCGUAUAUUAAAGUUGUUGCGGUUAAAACGUUCGUAGUUGAACUUGUGUUUCGCACGGGCAGUACCUAGGACUAGGUAACUAGGACGGUACGUUGUCUUAUCUUUCCAAUGUUCUUCAUCGGAUUUGGAAAAAGUGCGUGAACGUAUUAUCGGCGUGUUCGAUUUUCGAUUUAAUCGAUCGACGAUCGUUCACAUAAGCCCAUUUCAGUGCUCUUCAUCGAGUGUUGCUGUGGGCCGAUACAAAUUACUUUGAACAAAUUAGAGUGCUUAAAGCAGGCUUGUAAUGCCUGAAUAUUUUGUGCAUGGAAUAAUGGAAUAGGACAUCUGUUCUACUUUCAUUGGUUUUUUAGGCCAAGAUGUAAUGAUUAAUAGAAGCAGUUGGGGGCAUUAGUAUUACAACGCGAGAGGUGAAAUUCUUAGACCGUUGUAAGACUGACUAAAGCGAAAGCAUUUGCCAAAGAUGUUUUCAUUUAAUCAAGAACGAAAGUUAGAGNNNNNNNNNNNNNNNNNNNNNNNNNNNNNUCUAACCAUAAACGAUGCCAGCUAGCAAUUGGAUGUAGCUACUACUAUGGCUCUUUCAGUCGCUUCUCGGGAAACCAAAGCUUUUGGGCUCCGGGGGAAGUAUGGUUGCAAAGCUGAAACUUAAAGGAAUUGACGGAAGGGCACCACCAGGAGUGGAGCCUGCGGCUUAAUUUGACUCAACACGGGAAAACUUACCAGGUCCGAACAUGAAUGAGUAAGACAGAUUGAUAGCUCUUUCUCGAAUCUAUGGGUGGUGGUGCAUGGUCGUUCUUAGUUCGUGGAGUGGUUUGUCUGGUUAAUUCCGAUAACGAACGAGACUCAAAUAUAUUAAAUAGAUGCAUUCAGGAUUAUGGUUUUGAAGCUUUGCAUACCCCGUUUAUCAUUGGUGGGAAUGGAUGCGGUUAACGCCGUAUCCUUUUUGCUGUGAUGAAUUUGUGGUUGUGUAGGUGGAGCCAUACCUGUUUGUUUGUCUAGUUACACAAAAUAGACACUUAGCUUCUUAAAUGGACAAAUUGUGACUAACAAUAAUGAGAUUGAGCAAUAACAGGUCUGUAAUGCCCUUAGAUGUCCUGGGCUGCACGCGCGCUACAAUGAAGGUAUCAACGUGUGUUUCCUAGGCCGAGAGGUCCGGGCAAACCGAUGAACCACCUUCUUGCUUGGGAUUGUGAACUGAAACUGUUCACAUGAACCUGGAAUUCCCAGUAAGUGCGAGUCAUUAACUCGCAUUGAUUAUGUCCCUGCCCUUUGUACACACCGCCCGUCGCUACUACCGAUUGAAUUGUUUAGUGAGGUCUCCGGACGUGAUCACUUCGACGCUUUCUUGUGUUGCAGUUGCUUCACCGAAGUUGACCGAACUUGGUUAUUUAGAGGAAGUAAAAGUCGUACAAGGUUCC
Molecule: ribosomal RNA, 1994 nt
Filed under: Asiorrhina parasiatica
Lineage: Eukaryota; Metazoa; Arthropoda; Insecta; Diptera; Keroplatidae
Description: SSU rRNA
Rfam family: Eukaryotic small subunit ribosomal RNA
Source: RNAcentral